CUUGAUGAUUAUGUACUGGACCAUGCAGUAGGCACUGUGGCGUGUGCUGCACAGGAAUCAAUGAACUACGAAGAUUCGGUGAAGGAUGCUAAAUAGUGUGUCGGAAGACGAACUGAAAUCACAUCAUCAAAACAACACUUUGGAAGCUUGUACCGUUGCCUAAAGUACAGAACGUUGUUGGCUCCAUCUCAAGGUUAUUAUGUGCAAAAGUACGGAGAAGACUUUGACGAGGUCUACGCUCCUUUUACGCAACAUGCAUAAUUUCGUACAUUUUUGACAAUAGCGGCUAAUCGAAAGAUGACUGUGAAACACCCCGAUAAAAAAACAACCUAUCUUAAUGGAUCCCUUGACGAAAAGGUCUGUCUACAUGCGUCAACCUCCAGGCUUUAAAGAAGCAGGAAAAGAGAAGCUUGUCUGGCCAUCUGUCCCUGUGGUUUGGAGAGCAACAUUUUUUAUCGUGAAAGGUUCCGUAAACCAAGAAAAUUAUUUGCAGGAGGGUCCGAGAAAACGUCCGUUGCCUUUUAUCAAGCAACACAGUUGUUUCGUUCAGUUUUGACCGGAAUAGGCAUCUUGCCGUAGAAAAGGCGAUGGAGUGGUAUGCCGCGAACAAUGUUUAGGUGGCGCCAAAGGACAUGAACUAGAACACACCAGAGCUCCGCGGAGCAUCACGAAGACAAGAAAGACAAUUAUCAAAGAGAUGCAGUUCAAGGCAAUCACUGACAAAACCGAAGGUAACAAAGUGCUUCAAGGGGCCGAAUGGCAUAUAUUACUCGACUUGGUUCGACGA
Wyeomyia smithii (pitcher-plant mosquito) is the source of this 787-nucleotide long non-coding RNA. RefSeq lists it as uncharacterized. The transcript has 3 exons. The record is from RefSeq and is a predicted model, not a curated record. Lineage: Eukaryota; Metazoa; Arthropoda; Insecta; Diptera; Culicidae.